Molecule: ribosomal RNA, 466 nt
Filed under: uncultured bacterium
Lineage: Bacteria
Description: partial 16S ribosomal RNA
Rfam family: Bacterial small subunit ribosomal RNA
Source: RNAcentral
GACGAACGCUGGCGGCGUGCUUAACACAUGCAAGUCGAACGGAAAGGCCCUGCUUGCAGGGUACUCGAGUGGCGAACGGGUGAGUAACACGUGGGUGAUCUGCUCUUCACUUCGGGAUAAGCCUGGGAAACUGGGUCUAAUACCGGAUAGUAGCCAGGUUUAGUGUGAUGGUUGUAAAGUUUUUUUCGGUGUAGGUUGAGCUCGCGGCCUAUCAGCUUGUUGGUGGGGUAAUGGCCUACCAAGGCGGCGACGGGUAGCCGGCCUGAGAGGGUGGACGGCCACAUUGGGACUGAGAUACGGCCCAGACUCCUACGGGAGGCAGCAGUGGGGAAUAUUGCACAAUGGGCGCAAGCCUGAUGCAGCGACGCCGCGUGGGGGAUGACGGCCUUCGGGUUGUAAACUCCUUUCGCUAGGGACGAAGCUUUUUGUGACGGUACCUAGAUAAGAAGCACCGGCUAACUACGUG